Long non-coding RNA from Oncorhynchus keta (chum salmon), 724 nucleotides. RefSeq lists it as uncharacterized. Lineage: Eukaryota; Metazoa; Chordata; Actinopteri; Salmoniformes; Salmonidae. The transcript is spliced from 2 exons. The record is from RefSeq and is a predicted model, not a curated record.
AGGGGAGAAAGAGGUCAGAGCACAGGGUAGGGCAGUGUGAGCAGAACCAGCGGUGUCGUUUGACUUAGCAAACGAGGAUCGGAUGUCGUCGACCUUCUUUUCAAAAUGGUAUAGUCUUAAACCAAUGUAUAAAGCCUAAACCCCCCCUCCAAUAUAUUUCUGGAUGAUGUAGAAGACCCCCCCCCUCUGCAGGAUCAGGUACUGCAUAGGCUAUUAGCUAAAGUAAGGUGCAUUCUUGUACACACAUCACCAGAGGUUCCCUAACAUUACUUAAUGACCACAAUCUGUUUUCUUUCUAGACGAUACUGAAAACAAAAUGCACGGCGAACUGGGAGCUGUGAACUGGGAAGCAGAUGUUCUUCUAAAGAACACCCUAGAGGCAGCAAGAUGGGGUGAACGCCAACCAUUUAAAGGCACCGUUUCCCUCCCUAGUGUAAUUGGGAUGGACGAGGAAGACCGCAAUUACAACCCUUAAAGAACUACAGUUGUAUGAUGGCCUGGAUGAAGAAUAUUCUCCUCAAGGAACCAUUCAUGUUCUCGUUCCAGUUACAGAGACAUUAUGAGAUGUUCUAUGUGGAGGCAGUUGACUACAAUAAAAUGACUGCCUCUUUUGAGGAGCAAGAGUGAAGCCAUUUUUGAGGAGUGGUCAAACCUUGUUUUUCUCUGCUGUGUUAAUUGUUUCAAUUGUUAAUUGUGUUGUUUAGUAAAGAUUAUGUAGAAGUCA